UGGAAUGCAUGUGUAUCUCAUGGAGCUGCACAUUUUGAGUGGUGAAAGGUCAAGGUCAUCCUUCAAGGUCAGAGGUCAAAUAUAUGUGGCCCAAAUCGCUUAUUUUAUGAAUACUUUUGCAAUAUUGAAUAUAGCAACUUGAUAUUUGGCAUGCAUGUGUAUCUCAUGGAGCUGCACAUUUUGAGUGAUGAAAGGUCAAGGUCAUCCUUCACAAGGUCAAGGUCAUCCUUCAAAGUCAAAGGUCAUAUAGGGGGACAUUGUGUUUCACAAACGCAUCUUGUUUUUAAGAAUUCAUUUAUUAGUUUGUAAGUACUUGAGUAUGUAACUAUCCACUGACGGGACAGACAAAUAAGUUAUAUAUGAACACUAGAAGAAAUACAAAUGAAGAAAAUGUUAAUGUUGAUUGCAUCCAAAAGAAAAACAUGAGAUAAUAUCGAUGUUAUGAUGAUGUUCCCUGGAUAAUAUGAAUAAUUAUCAAAAUAUAAAUUGCUGAAAACAUUAACUAAACGUUAUAUAAUGCUCUUAUGGUGUAAAAAAAUAUAUUGAAUGGCUAAACAAUUCAAAACGAAGCUUUUAGUGUAUAAACUUGCUGCCUACAUAUUGCCAUAGAAUAAAUUGUUUUUCAUAGAAAAAUACAACUUACUAUUCUUGACACCUGUUCAGCAUACAAUCUAUGCCACCAAUUGACUUUAGCAAACAAUCAUAAUUUUGUUUUAUUUACUCAUAAAGUAAAAACUGUAUAUAA
Dreissena polymorpha is the source of this 745-nucleotide long non-coding RNA. RefSeq lists it as uncharacterized. Lineage: Eukaryota; Metazoa; Mollusca; Bivalvia; Myida; Dreissenidae. The transcript is spliced from 2 exons. The record is from RefSeq and is a predicted model, not a curated record.